Molecule: non-coding RNA, 111 nt
Organism: Acanthosepion pharaonis
Lineage: Eukaryota; Metazoa; Mollusca; Cephalopoda; Sepiida; Sepiidae
Source: the annotation of a GenBank genome assembly
UACGACCACAUUACGUUGAAACAUCGGUUCCCGUACGAUCACCGAAGUUAAGCAACAACGGACCUUGGCAGUACCUAGAUAGGUGACCGUUUAGGAAUACCAGGUGUUGUG